Non-coding RNA from Callorhinus ursinus (northern fur seal), 547 nucleotides. The record is from RefSeq and is a predicted model, not a curated record. NCBI's taxonomy places the organism in Eukaryota, Metazoa, Chordata, Mammalia, Carnivora, Otariidae.
UCCUCGUCUCUCUCAAGAGCCCGGCGCAGGCGGCUCCCUGGUCCCUCAACUCUCUGCUGCCUGGACCCCCUUCCCAGACUCCCCAGCUCCCCCACCCCGGCUGCUGACUAGGAGCUCCCAGGAGCAGGCCUCAACCUACCUGUCUCACGGGUGGACACACAGCAGAUCCUGGCUUCAGAGUGAAAAUUCAGCAAGUCCCAAUAAAGCAGGAACUGAUGGCCAGAAGAAGCCAGCCUGCCAUGGCCUGAGUGAGAACAGCAAAGCAUAGAAACUGGAGCGGGUCUGCCAGAGGACUCUGAAGGAGGGGACAGGGCCCUCGAACCUUUACUCAGCCCCUACUUUUCUGCAGAGAGCCCAGAUUCCAGAGGGGCUGAUGUGUGCAAAUUAAACCCAACUGAAAUCCACAAAUCAGGAGGAGCAAACAUGGACCCAGACCCUGCUCAAUUCAAGCCUUGGAUGACUGAUGCUCUGGCUAACACCUUGACUGCAGCCUUGUGAGAGACCUGGAGCCUCCAGCUAAGGCCCCCCGCUGAGCAUCACUUCGAUU